GACGAACGCUGGCGGCGUGCUUAACACAUGCAAGUCGAACGGAAAGGCCCUGCUUUUGUGGGGUGCUCGAGUGGCGAACGGGUGAGUAACACGUGAGCAACCUGCCCUUGACUUUGGGAUAACUUAAGGAAACUGGGGUUAAUACCGGAUAGGAGCUCACCUUGCAUGGUGGGGGUUGGAAAGUUUCGGCGGUUGGGGAUGGACUCGCGGCUUAUCAGCUUGUUGGUGGGGUAGUGGCUUACCAAGGCUUUGACGGGUCGCCGGCCUGUGUGGGUGACCGGCCACAUUGGGACUGAGAGACGGCCCAGACUCCUACGGGAGGCAGCAGUGGGGAAUAUUGCACAAUGGGCGGAAGCCUGAUGCAGCGACGCCGCGUGCGGGAUGACGGCCUUCGGGUUGUAAACCGCUUUCGCCUGUGACGAAGCGUGAGUGACGGUAAUGGGUAAAGAAGCACCGGCUAACUACGUG
RNAcentral lists this ribosomal RNA (468 nucleotides) under uncultured bacterium. RNAcentral describes it as "partial 16S ribosomal RNA". It matches the Rfam family "Bacterial small subunit ribosomal RNA", at positions 28 to 507 of the family's 1533-position model. The record is from RNAcentral.